UAGGGAAUCUUCCGCAAUGGACGCAAGUCUGACGGAGCAACGCCGCGUGGGUGAAGAAGGUUUUCGGAUCGUAAAACUCUGUUGUUAGAGAAGAACAAGUGCUAGAGUAACUGUUAGCGCCUUGACGGUAUCUAACCAGAAAGCCACGGCUAACUACGUGCCAGCAGCCGCGGUAAUACGUAGGUGGCAAGCGUUGUCCGGAUUUAUUGGGCGUAAAGCGAGCGCAGGCGGUUUGAUAAGUCUGAAGUUAAAGGCUGUGGCUCAACCAUAGUUCGCUUUGGAAACUGUCAAACUUGAGUGCAGAAGGGGAGAGUGGAAUUCCAUGUGUAGCGGUGAAAUGCGUAGAUAUAUGGAGGAACACCGGUGGCGAAAGCGGCUCUCUGGUCUGUAACUGACGCUGAGGCUCGAAAGCGUGGGGAGCGAACAGGAUUAGAUACCCUGGUAGUCCACGCCGUAAACGAUGAGUGCUAGGUGUUGGAUCCUUUCCGGGAUUCAGUGCCGCAGCUAACGCAUUAAGCACUCCGCCUGGGGAGUACGACCGCAAGGUUG
RNAcentral lists this ribosomal RNA (549 nucleotides) under uncultured bacterium. RNAcentral describes it as "bacterial SSU rRNA". It matches the Rfam family "Bacterial small subunit ribosomal RNA", at positions 355 to 896 of the family's 1533-position model. The record is from RNAcentral.